RNAcentral lists this ribosomal RNA (491 nucleotides) under uncultured bacterium. Its description in RNAcentral is "partial 16S ribosomal RNA". It matches the Rfam family "Bacterial small subunit ribosomal RNA", at positions 29 to 507 of the family's 1533-position model. The record is from RNAcentral.
GUGAACGCUGGCGGUAGGCCUAACACAUGCCAGUCGAACGGCAGCACAGUAAGCGCUUGCUCUUACGGGUGGCGAGUGGCGGACGGGUGAGGAAUACAUCGGAAUCUACUUUUUCGUGGGGGAUAACGUAGGGAAACUUACGCUAAUACCGCAUACGACCUACGGGUGAAAGCAGGGGAUCUUCGGGCCUUGCGCGAUUGAAUGAGCCGAUGUCGGAUUAGCUAGUUGGCGGGGUAAAGGCCCACCAAGGCGACGAUCCGUAGCUGGUCUGAGAGGAUGAUCAGCCACACUGGAACUGAGACACGGUCCAGACUCCUACGGGAGGCAGCAGUGGGGAAUAUUGGACAAUGGGCGCAAGCCUGAUCCAGCCAUACCGCGUGGGUGAAGAAGGCCUUCGGGUUGUAAAGCCCUUUUGUUGGGAAAGAAAAGCAGCAGGUUAAUACCCCGCUGUUCUGACGGUACCCAAAGAAUAAGCACCGGCUAACUUCGUG